This 766-nucleotide ribosomal RNA is filed under the name uncultured Streptococcaceae bacterium. RNAcentral describes it as "bacterial SSU rRNA". It matches the Rfam family "Bacterial small subunit ribosomal RNA", at positions 77 to 831 of the family's 1533-position model. The record is from RNAcentral. Lineage: Bacteria; Bacillati; Bacillota; Bacilli; Lactobacillales; Streptococcaceae.
CUACACCGUAUUCUGUGAGUUGCGAACGGGUGAGUAACGCGUAGGUAACCUGCCUGGUAGCGGGGGAUAACUAUUGGAAACGAUAGCUAAUACCGCAUAAGAACAUUUACUGCAUGGUAGAUGUUUAAAAGGUGCAAAAGCAUCACUACCAGAUGGACCUGCGUUGUAUUAGCUAGUUGGUGAGGUAACGGCUCACCAAGGCAACGAUACAUAGCCGACCUGAGAGGGUGAUCGGCCACACUGGGACUGAGACACGGCCCAGACUCCUACGGGAGGCAGCAGUAGGGAAUCUUCGGCAAUGGGGGGAACCCUGACCGAGCAACGCCGCGUGAGUGAAGAAGGUUUUCGGAUCGUAAAGCUCUGUUGUUAAGGAAGAACGUGUGUGAGAGUGGAAAGUUCACACAGUGACGGUACUUAACCAGAAAGGGACGGCUAACUACGUGCCAGCAGCCGCGGUAAUACGUAGGUCCCGAGCGUUGUCCGGAUUUAUUGGGCGUAAAGCGAGCGCAGGCGGUUAGAUAAGUCUGAAGUGAAAGGCAGUGGCUCAACCAUUGUAGGCUUUGGAAACUGUUUAACUUGAGUGCAGAAGGGGAGAGUGGAAUUCCAUGUGUAGCGGUGAAAUGCGUAGAUAUAUGGAGGAACACCGGUGGCGAAAGCGGCUCUCUGGUCUGUAACUGACGCUGAGGCUCGAAAGCGUGGGGAGCGAACAGGAUUAGAUACCCUGGUAGUCCACGCCGUAAACGAUGAGUGCUAGGUGUUAGGUCCU